AAGGCAACUGAAAGAGAACAAAGAUGUCUCCAAAUGUGGGCUGGCUGGGCAUCGUGCAGGAAGAGGUGGAGUGGGGUAAGAUAAAAGGACACCACCUGUCCAGAUGAUAGGUCUCAGAAGACCAUGACUCCACCCCUGUCCAAUCAAUUAUCCACUCUAACAUCAGGUUUCCUUGCCUGUGAAUUGGAAAUAAUGACACUCUCUCUUACAUGGCUGUUGUGCUGAUCAAAUGAGAUAAUAUCUACGGAAGGCUCUCUGUACACCACUACACACCAGAGGAGAGAGGCAGCAAUAUUUAACAUGAACCAAAGAGCAUUUGAAAUGAUGUUAACUCUCCUGAGACAGGAUGUUCUUUGGCUGGGAAAGCAGUAAUCCCUCCCCUCGGUGACCUCAGUGAAUUUCAGACAGAUCUUCAAAGCCGAUCAGGUGUCUGCAGGGUAGAGUGGUGAAAAUGUUCCAAGUUCUCUGACCUCCCUCUGCUGGAGAGAAGGUUGGCAUCAAGGACGGAAGCUUUCAAUUGCAUUGAACAUAGCCUGGACAGGUUCCAAGUGGAAGGAACAUUCAAUUCACUUAAAGGCGCUCGACGGGUCCUUCUGCUCUCAUCUGUACCCAGGGGAAAACAAAUCCUGGUGUUAUAAGGCAUUUGGACAGCAGCAUAUCACAGCUAAGAGAGCACUAGGCUUACAGAGAGGAGCCCUGGGUCCCGGGCUUGGCUCUGCCUCUCAGAGCUUGGGACCCUGGCACAUUGCCCUGCCCCUUGGGGACCCCUGGCCCAUCUUCUAAAUAUGAAAAUAAAA
RNAcentral lists this long non-coding RNA (797 nucleotides) under Ictidomys tridecemlineatus (thirteen-lined ground squirrel). Its description in RNAcentral is "lncRNA (ENSSTOG00000032254.1)". Lineage: Eukaryota; Metazoa; Chordata; Mammalia; Rodentia; Sciuridae. The record is from RNAcentral.